CCUCACUACCAGAGAAGUUCACGUACCCAGAUCUCAUAUCUCAACUGGUAAAGGAGUAUGGGAGGUCCUCCAAGGAUUUCUCCAUGACUAUGACUGACUACGACCCAAAGCUCAAAAAAGUAUUUCAUGUACCUCCACCCUCAUCUGCGUUGAUGGAUUAUGUUGACACCUUUCCAUCGUGACGGUCUGAAAUGGAGAGGGAGAGGAAAACUCCUGUCGCCUGCUCCAAAUCCCAACAACAGGGUGGGGCACUGCUGAGGCGUCCGUCAUUUUGCUGUUCAUCGGAACAGGACCAACAGCCUCAGGCUCUGUGGAACUGUUUCCACUCAAUGGAAAUAGAAUCCAAAUCCCUUUGAAUGAUCCAACCAUUCCUGUACAC
Molecule: long non-coding RNA, 379 nt
Filed under: Salmo salar (Atlantic salmon)
Lineage: Eukaryota; Metazoa; Chordata; Actinopteri; Salmoniformes; Salmonidae
Description: lncRNA (ENSSSAG00000121114.1)
Source: RNAcentral